ACCACUGAUCUCCCUUUGCUCUGCAGCCUGCAGCCUGAGCCUGGAGCACCCAGCCAGACCAGGGGGCUUCCCUGAUGAGCACACUGCUGAGGGCGUGCCCGGCCCGGCCGCCCCACUCAGAUUCCACGCCUGUCCCCGGACUUCAUCACUGAGGGAGAUGCCCAUGAGCAUUCACAGCCAGCCACAACCCCUGGAGUUCCUGCAGGCUGAGGGCCCUGCCCAGGCACCUGCCUCCAGCUCACCCUCCCUUCCCUGCCCUGGCCAGGCUCAAGGUCACGACCCUGAACUAAACCCUGAGGUGGCAGCAAACCUCAGGGCUACCAACAAGGACAACCUCUAGGAGAC
This is a long non-coding RNA of Lontra canadensis (Northern American river otter), 345 nucleotides long. RefSeq lists it as uncharacterized. The record is from RefSeq and is a predicted model, not a curated record. NCBI's taxonomy places the organism in Eukaryota, Metazoa, Chordata, Mammalia, Carnivora, Mustelidae. The transcript is spliced from 3 exons.